Molecule: long non-coding RNA, 3990 nt
Filed under: Macaca fascicularis (crab-eating macaque)
Lineage: Eukaryota; Metazoa; Chordata; Mammalia; Primates; Cercopithecidae
Description: lncRNA (ENSMFAG00000053608.1)
Source: RNAcentral
CUCUGCGCUCACUUCUUCCCGACCCUGCCGGACUCCAGCUUGCGCGCCCGCUGGCAGCCCAAGGACAGUCCCGCCGCCCCACGGCGCUGGAGACGCUGCGGGGUUCAGUGUCCCUUCCUUCCGGAUCCGCGUUUGAAUCCCCCUUCCUCGGAUCCCUUACGCAGCCCAGAGCCCGGCGAUCUGGCUUCUUCCGUGGGCGGCCACUCUGUGACCCGAGCGGCGGCGCUUUGGCCCGAGGGUGGGCGCGACUUAGGGACGGCCAGCGUCCAGCCGGCGUGAGCGCAGCCCUCCUCGCUGCAGCUGGGCACGUUGGGCGGCAGGAGAGGCUGCUGUGCUGCCUGGCUCUCCCUUUCUAAGCUCCCGGGUCUGCGAAAGUUUGGGGUGGGUUGUACUUUCUCUAGGUCGGUCUGUCCCACCUGGUACCCCACCCUACUUUCUGCCCGGCCCCUCACCCUUGUCGGCGCUAUGCUUUCUCUCCGGGCCCCCCACCUUGUAUAUUGCACGGGCUCCCUGGGUGGUUUUGCUCCCAGGGACACUGCCAUGCGUUCAGUCCUGGAGCCCGUGAAUCCAAGCCUGUGCUCUCGCUCCCGCCCGUGGAUUGCGUGAAAAUCAAUAGAGCACCACCCAGCUCGUGUUGGAAGGGACGCUCAGACAUCUCCGCCCACGGCAUUUUCCCUCUAGGAGAAGGGCGAUUCAGCUUCGCACCUGAGCUGUUUAAGGACUGGAUCUGACCCUUUUCCUGAAGAUUGCCGGUGGGGCGUGCCAGUCUCUCGCCCGACCUUGGAAGGUGGACAAGGAGUGAUUUCAGAGUCGUUUCCCGACCUGCUGAAAAUACCCGACCUAGGCGCACCCAAAACGUUCCCUACAGUUGCAGGGGGGUUCUGGUUUCCCAAACCGCGGGACUCACGAAUCUCAAGAACAGCUGGCAGAAAGGACUGUCUGCUUGGGGGAAGGGGAGAGACCAACGCGGAGAGCCGUGGAGCUGCUUGUGGCCCCAGCCUUGGGUCACCCAGGACGCCCUUUCCGGAGCCGAGUUAAGGUCGCGGACCCUGGUAGGUGGCGAGGCUCCUGGGCGCUGGGAUGCUAGAAGCGCGCAGCCCUCCCCGCCCCGCGCAGGCCGCCGCCUCUUCCUCUCCAAAGCGGACUCACAGUGCCCCCUGGCGUCCGCGCGGCCCCGUUUUAAGGCGUUGUCCCUGUCCCCAAACUCAUUCUAUUCACCGGAAGGAAGUGGACUUUGUGACUUUAUACCGAUUCCCCUUUUAAGUACAGACGUUUUUGUCACGUUUAUCUUUAUAUUCCAAUACUAACUCACAAGGAUCUUUGAUUUUUUUUAAAGAAAAUAUUUCAGCAGUUUGAAUGAUGCUGCUAAGAAACAGAAAUUAUCAGCAAAUAUUUUUUGGAAAGUUACUCUAUGCCAGGCAUCUAUUCACAGAUCUAUACACAUGUGGUAAAUAGUAAUAUGCCAUAUCUUACAGAAGAAGAAAUUGAGACCUCAAAACUAAUUCGCCCACGAUCUCACUGUUCCCGAUGGAGCAAGGGGUUCGAAUUGUGGGGGGAUAAAUUUAGUAUCAGCCUUCAGCCGUCCAACUACUCACCUUCGAAUCACAGUCCCCCGCCUGUGCUGUGCUGUGCAACAUGUGAGGGUAAAAAAUGCGCAGGUUGUAAGAGGUGAGGUUUUUUGUUUGUUUGUUUUUGUUUGUUUGUGGGUUUUUGUUUGGUUUUGGACUGGAAAACUUAAAGCUCAAGAGUUUUUUUGUCUUUUUUUUCUUUCUUUCUCUCUCUCUCUCUCUCUCUCUCUCUGUUUUUCUUUAACAGAGUCUCUCUUUGUCGCCCAGGCUGGAGUGCAGUGGCGUGAUCUCGGCUCACUGCAACCUUCGCCUCCUGGGUUCAAGUGAUUCACCUGCCUCAGCCACCUGAGUAGCUGGGACUACAGGCGCCUGCCACCACGCCCGGCUAAUUUUUGUAAUUUUAGUGGAAACGGGGUUUCGUCAUGUUAUCCAGGCUGGUCUGGAUCUCCUGACCUCAGGUGAUCCGCCCACCUCGGCCUCCCAAAGUGCUGGGAUAACAGGCAAGAACCACCGCGGCCGGCCUAAAGCUCAGGAGUUUUAUUGUGUUUUCUUUCCCAAGCUGUAUGAAAAGUCCAACAGCACUGUUCUGUCGUUCUUUGCCUUCUUAUAUGUGACCUUUUCCCCUCUGGGGGCUUAUAAAUAUUCAUCUUGUCUUAUAAAUCCUCAGUGAAGGCAAUGAGUAUUUUUAUUUCCGUUUUACCAUUAGGGAUACUGGUUGGGGGAAGAUGAAUGACUUGCCCAAGGUCAUAUAGUAAAUCAGGACACAGACAAGAUCAAGCUUGCCCUGUCAAAGUGCUUCCCUGACAGGCAGCAGUGAUCCUCCUUUAUUUAUGUGCAAAGUACUCUCCAAUUAGGAAAUUAAGCAUCCUGGUGCUCUCUUUGGAAGGGAAGCCUUUUAUAAAUUCAUCACUUGUUAAUCAGUCAUAAAUAAAACCUACUCACUUUUGACCUCUAGAGGAAACCUGCUAUCUGGAGAUUUCACUAAUCCGAGCUAUGGAGACUUUUUUUCCCCCAGGUUUCCCUUCUAUUUCUCUUGUACAUUUCUAUACUUACUCGAGUCCUCUUUGGGUGAACCAUUGACGCACUGUAUCUUUCCAUUGCUUGCCUUAGCAUAUUGAACCUCUUAAUAGAUUUCAGGCUACUAUGCUAAAAUGUGUCUAUCUCUGUGGAGACUAAAGGCUAAAGUUCAAAGUGACACUGGCAAGAAUGAUUGGCUAAUUUUAAGAUUUAGAACUGUAGCCUUUUAGAGCUAGAGGCCACUGGAGAUCAUACCCAGCAUCUAGAUCUGCAUGGAGGAAGCCAAGGCCCAGAGAGGUCAAGUUCCUUACCUAAAGUUACACAGCUAGUUUGUGACACAACUGGGACAAGAACCCAGAUCUGCUUCCUCACAUUGCUCUUUGCAAUGUACUGCAUUACCUCAUUUUUGCUGCAAGCCCUUGGCCACUGUCAAAAUCAUUCAUUUACUCAUCAAAUGUUUAUUAAGUAGGCACUUCAGUGCCAGGCACUGAAGCAAAAAAAGAAGAGUUUUCCUUCAUUAAUUGGAACAGGAGACUUCAGCAUUUUAAAUAUGUAGAGAAUAAACUGACAGCUUUUUAAAAUAUGUUAGCUCAUGAAUGGUAAAGUUUACAAAGAUAUAAAGCAGUGUUUUCUUCUAUCUGUAAUAUUAUCCAAAUUCUGUGAUCAUAAUAUUAGCCAACAUUUAAAAUGAAACUGUAUUUGAAAUCCAGACAAAAAUGUACUUUGAAAAUGCAAGUGGCUACUCUGUUCCUAGUCACAUCCUUAGAACACACAAUUGAUUCAGAAAACGUUGUCAACUACCUCUAAUUUUGUGUUACUUUUGAUUAUCAUUGCUUUGUUCGAGCUUUUUUCUGUAUAUAAAAAUUUUCCAAAUAUUUGUCAUGCUGAUUAUUAUUUAAUAUGUUUGGGGUCACACUUACUUUUGCAGAGGGGAUGUCUUGCCUAAUGAAAAUCAAUGGGAAAAUAGGUUAUGGAGAAAGUUCCUUUUUAGGCACCAUUUUAGAACUGUUGUGCAAUGGUAAUCACUAUGGCAAAAUGCCUGUUGAUCCUCUCCAUGUAAUUAAUUAAUGAUAAUUCUAUUCAGGUUUUCAACUCUAAAUAUCAGAAAACAGCUUUUCUACUUGCUCAGUAACUUGAUUUAAGGAUAUAGAGUGAAAAAUAAUUUGUUAUGGAAUUUUCUUGGUGCCGUUUAAGGUUUCAGACUAUUUUAGAAGAUAAAUGUUCACACCUAGUGCAUGUAAAAAUUAAAUUCCAUUAACAUCUAUUAAAUGUCAGUCCCCAGGGUGUCUAGCCUUGUAAAAGUCAAAGAUAUAUAAUAUUAAUCUUAAAAUGCAAAAAUGUCUUGCCUCUGCUUAAACCAUGAGCUAAAAAGCAUCUAGAAGGAGUGGAUGCCAUAGGGAGAAAA